Molecule: long non-coding RNA, 2118 nt
Organism: Micropterus dolomieu (smallmouth bass)
Lineage: Eukaryota; Metazoa; Chordata; Actinopteri; Centrarchiformes; Centrarchidae
Exons: 3
Source: RefSeq, a predicted model, not a curated record
CUCACAUGCUUUUUCCAUCCUGCACUGUGAAUGUUUACACAGUGUGUAAAACGUGACUGUGUUUGUCUAUUGUUUUGACUUGAAGAUGAAGAAGAUCAGAUCACAUGUUGUGACCAAUUUCUGCAGAAAUCCAGCUGUUCGGAGAGCAGCAGCUCACCUCUUGAGUUUGGUACUCACUUUGUGAACGCCUCCAUCGUGCUUUCUAUCCUCUCUCCAGAUCCUGGUAACAAACAGAGGAGUUAAGGGUUGAUGAUGGCAGCAGGGAGAGAAGCACCGGUUAACAACGAAACUGAGGAAAAAUACGGCUGUUUAGACAUGCACAUGUUAUGAUCUGGACGUGAUGGACCCCUCCUCCUGACAGACGACCAGCUGCACCCUUCAGGCUUCAGAGUGCCUGUGACCAACCUUACCUCCUCUGUGUGAGAUGUGUUUGCAGUAAAAGGCUGUGCGUUUCCUCCUGUGGAGAAUCUGGGGGUUCUUCAGCAGGUACACCGAGGUGAGAGUGUAUCCACCCAGAGCUGGGAGGAUGAAGUACAGAAAACUGCUCAUCCUUCUCUACAAAUACGUUCCAGUGAGCUCCUAAAUGAGUUGCUGCAAGAUCGCACCGCUAAUGUUGGACAGGACCACCAGCAAACAAAACUUCAGCAAAAGUUAAUCAAGCUCUUAAUAAAGUCCAACAACAACCCUCCUUUGUGUUUCAAAGUAAAAGUGAACAGGACCACGCAUGACUGAAGACAACCUGCUCUCUACCUUCCUGAUAAGACAUGAAAAAACUGGAAAGACUGGUAAGACCGAAGAAAGUCUCCUUAUUGCCCACUCCUAGCAAACACACCUGAACCUUCAGUGCUGUAAAAAUCAGUUAAUGAAGUACCAGCUCAUAACCCAGCGCUCACCUCGCCGCUCUCUCACUGGCCUCUCCCCUGCCUGUGGCAAAUACUAUAUCACUCUCUUUAAGCUGCUUUGUUCAGCUGGGAUACUAGUGGCUUUGUGUGUGAGUGUCAUACCUGGUCACUGCAUGUUUGCCAACACUUACCUAGGAUUUAUUUGAUUCUGCUUCAUUGUUUGGAGUAUGGGGUUGGCCAUCAGUGAUUUGGAUUAUGAUGGAGAACAUAUGUUUGUUUAUCUAGUGUCACAUAACUCACGGGUGGGACAAAAUGAGGAAAAGAAGCAGUUGCUGGCAUCUUUUGUCCCAUUUAAACUCAGGACAUAGUUUGCAUCUGAUGGCUGGGUUGAUGAUUGGGAAAGAAAGUGGGAGUGCAGCGGGUUUCAACUGUGUAUUUGACAAAAGGGAUGUGGUGUAUGGCGGUAUGUAAACUAAACUCUGACCAACAGUGCCAGAAAUAUGAAAACAACCACGUGUCUAGAGGCAUGCAUGCUCGCUCUACAUACAGUCCACUGUCGUCAGUGCAUUACUGUAUUGUUCACAUUCAAUAGCAAAGCUGCAGUGUGACAAACAAUGGUGCGUCAGGCCGAGCCCGCUCUGAAAUGUUACAAGUCUGGUUUUCACCAGAAUAGAGACAUCUAUUCACGGCAGUGCAAUGUGACUUUCUAGCAAUUUCCCACUUUUGCAGGUGUCUCCAUUUGACAUGCAAAUAUGUGCAAAUCAUGGUGAAUUUGACAGAUAGAUCAUGUUUCACAUUUCCUGCUGUCAUGCCUGAUAUCAAAUAGAUUUUUUUUUACUUAUAAGCAGUCAUGGCCAAACACGCUUGGAAUGUCAGGGAAGGAGGGGGAAGCCAUGCUCAGGCAUGUUGGGAAGGAAGAGGGGAAAGCUGUACGGCAGGAAAAGCAAGUUGACUUUCGUGUUGAGAUGCCGAACAGUUACGUGUGUUGCUGAGUCUCAGGCUUAAAGUUUACUUCCCGGGGAUAUUUCAGAUAUAGUGUUAGGCCAGUCUGAGAUUAGUCUGGCAAACUAGUUUUACAUAAAUAAAUACUUAUCUUAAGCAUUAAAAGUUAGCCAGCACACCACCUGCCUGGCUCAGAAGGACUAAGAACCUGUUUCCAUGGUAUCAAUCGGGGACACCUGUCGCACAAUGGUACCAGCGGCAGUGAGAACAUUGUCAGUCGUUUUAUAACUUUAACCCUCUUUAAAACAAGAUGGUUCAUCUCAAGUUGUUUAUC